ACGGGUGAGUAAUGUCUGGGGAUCUGCCCGAUAGAGGGGGAUAACCACUGGAAACGGUGGCUAAUACCGCAUAACGUCGCAAGACCAAAGAGGGGGACCUUCGGGCCUCUCACUAUCGGAUGAACCCAGAUGGGAUUAGCUAGUAGGCGGGGUAACGGCCCACCUAGGCGACGAUCCCUAGCUGGUCUGAGAGGAUGACCAGCCACACUGGAACUGAGACACGGUCCAGACUCCUACGGGAAGCAGCAGUGGGGAAUAUUGCACAAUGGGCGCAAGCCUGAUGCAGCCAUGCCGCGUGUAUGAAGAAGGCCUUCGGGUUGUAAAGUACUUUCAGCGGGGAGGAAGGCGAUGUGGUUAAUAACCUUGUCGAUUGACGUUACCCGCAGAAGAAGCACCGGCUAACUCCGUGCCAGCAGCCGCGGUAAUACGGAGGGUGCAAGCGUUAAUCGGAAUUACUGGGCGUAAAGCGCACGCAGGCGGUCUGUUAAGUCAGAUGUGAAAUCCCCGGGCUUAACCUGGGAACUGCAUUUGAAACUGGCAGGCUUGAGUCUCGUAGAGGGGGGUAGAAUUCCAGGUGUAGC
RNAcentral lists this ribosomal RNA (581 nucleotides) under uncultured bacterium. Its description in RNAcentral is "bacterial SSU rRNA". It matches the Rfam family "Bacterial small subunit ribosomal RNA", at positions 102 to 679 of the family's 1533-position model. The record is from RNAcentral.